Molecule: long non-coding RNA, 1611 nt
Organism: Neofelis nebulosa (Clouded leopard)
Lineage: Eukaryota; Metazoa; Chordata; Mammalia; Carnivora; Felidae
Exons: 2
Source: RefSeq, a predicted model, not a curated record
CGCUGCGCUGGGGCCCGAGGCCCAGUGGGUCUUGCCAGUUUCUGGAGGCGGGCGGCCUCGCCUCUGACCGCAACCCCAGCUACUUAAUGAUCCCGCUGGUGGAGCGGCGCCUCCGUGGACUCGUGGACUCCCCAGCCUCUGAGACGUGGGUUCUUGAAAGAACUGCCCCUUGGCCCGGCGUGGGGCCUUCCCAAAAGUUGCUUCUAACAACGGGAGGGGGCAGUUCCUAGAAUUUGGGCAUGGGAAGGCGCAGAGGCUCGAGGUUUUCACAUUCAGCCCUUUCAAGUUGUGGCUGUAAGGUCACGAAUCUGGAGGGGCGGUCGGGAGGAUAAAGCGCCCGGCCUAUCUUGUGUUGCCCUCACCCCACCCUGCGCCGCCGCCAACAGGCUCACCGGCUCCAAGAAAGUUCUCCUCCCAAAGGCCUCCAGACCACGAGUUUAUCCGCUCUUUAUUGGGCCUGCUCUGUGCCAGACACUGUUGUAGGCACUGGGGACGCGGUGGUCACGAGACCUGCUAGGGCUCUGCCGGCGUGGCGGUCAUGUUGGAACUGACCGCCCCCUACUUGUGCAAUUAAGUGGCGGGCCUCGGACACUAGUGUAUCUGGGACCCCUGAGCGGUCGAGCCAGGGGCCCCCCGGGAGCCUGAGGGUGGCACUUCCCCUACCUGCUUAGUGUCCUCGACUCACCUGGCCGAUGAGGCCGGGGAGGGGCGUGUGCCCGCGCGAGUGUACCCGGGCGCCCGUCCGUGCGCGCGCGCGCGUGUGUGUGUUUGCGGCUGAAACCCGACACCUCCCGCUGGCUGAGGUCAGGGAGCCUGGAGCGAGCCAGUGGCCCGGGAGUGGGCGGCGUUGCGCUUGGGUGUGUCCUCGGCGGCGGCGACAGCAGCAGGUGUUUCUUGGCCGGGGCCCCGGAAGCUCCACCUCCCCAGCGGCCCGAGCCGCCGCCACCGCCGCCGCGCAGCCCGGGGUGAGAUAAGCAGUUUAGACAAACACUGGGCGACGGUGGCUCCAGCAUGUGUCAGCCGAGGCGGAGCUGCGGGGCCCUGGCAUGAAAGCCCUUCCUGCUCCGCCUGGAUGCGCCUCCCCGCCCCCAGCCCUCCCGGGCCCGCGGCCGCGCUGAUGGGCGGCGAGUGGCCCGACCGAGUGGAGCCGAUUCAAUUAUAUUGCAGCACCAGAGACACCUCCUCGGCCGCCCGCCCGCCUCUCCAGCAGGCUAAUUAAAUUCCCUUCGUGGAGGCGGAGCGGGAGUUGGGCUCGCCCUCCGCGGCUCCGGGUGGGGAACCAGUGGACCACUUGAGAAGUGUGCAGUGGAGGCUCCCAGCGCAGGGGGAGAAGGGGGGUUCUCGGGACUGGGGGGGAGAGGUGCCUCGGGUACCUCCCCCAUCCAGCUCGCUGGGUCCGGGAGACCCCUUGCGGGAGCGCCGGCUGUAAGUUUUGAGGGCUGAGCGCCGGGUGGGGAAGCCGCGCCCCCCCACCCCCACCCCCACCCCCACCCCAAGCUGGCCCCCAGCUGGGUGGUGGCUACCAGCCGGGAGUUGAGUCGAUUUGGCCGUUGUUUUGUAAACUAGCCUUUGUCAGCGGAGUGCAUCUAAAAUACAUUAAACCCUUGUUAA